This 1377-nucleotide long non-coding RNA is filed under the name Fukomys damarensis (Damara mole-rat). RNAcentral describes it as "lncRNA (ENSFDAG00000024455.1)". The record is from RNAcentral. Lineage: Eukaryota; Metazoa; Chordata; Mammalia; Rodentia; Bathyergidae.
ACGAGCCAAGAAGCAGCUGGCGGACUUUGGCAGGUGCAGUCAGAGACAGACAGGACUGCAUUCUGGGUUUCCCAGCUGGAGCAAUGCCAGGGAGUGGCUGGCCCUUGUGCAGCCAUGGGAGUGGGUGGCGGAGUUGAGACGGAAGGGAAGUCACUGUAACCGGAAGACCCUGCGCAGCUGAGUCAGCGGGUGAAGGCUGUCCUGGAGCGAACAGCAACCCUGAGACGUGGGAGUUAGGAUCUUCGGGGCAGGACGGUGUUCAGGAUGGGGAGCAGCUGCUGAGGAUGUUGCAUCCUAACCCUAACUUGUGGGCAUGCUGUGGGGACUGCUAGCCCUGAGAACUGUUCGAGCUGGGAAGAAAGUGAUGACAAGGCUCAGCAGAAGAAGAUGUGCUCUACAGAAUGAAGUGGUGUGGUGGAGAAGGGACAGGUGGUCAUAACUGUGAGACUCACACACUGCUUUUCAUCCUCAUCCAUGAGCUAAUCUGCCCUCACCACGAGUCUGUGAGCUCCGUCAUAUGCCACUGCCUCAGCCAGAAGAACACACCACCUUCGGAGAUGCUGUGGGCAUGGCCACCAGUCCUCCCUCUUCCCUUUCUUCAUCAUUACUGUCAUCCUCCUCAUCCCACCAUCAUCACCAUUGUCAUCUGCUUCAUCCUAAAGGUACUGCCGGGAAUAGGUAAAUGGCAUCGAACAACAGAACAAAGUGGGCUCCCUCUGGAAUGCGAAUGGGAAACUCAGUACAAUCAGCACAGCAGGUAAUAAAUUCAGGGAAUUGAACCCUUGGGAAACUAGAAGAAAUCGCAUUGACCACAGGCUGGGCAGAGAAGGCUGAGAAGCCCAAAUUGGAGCAACAAAUGCUUUGCCAUCUGAAGAGGGUGACACAGCCAUCUUGAAGAGGGGAGUGCUGUGCUCUCCCUUCGAGCUGCAUAUGAGGGUCUAGUCACAGAAGAAGAGCUGAGCCUGAAAACUCCACACCACCCUUCUAGUGAUGCUUUUUCCUGAUAGAGCCCACUUUAAAAAGAUGAUCGUUUUGGAAACAGUGAUCUUCUCCGUCUAGUUCAUUUGAAGCCUCUGCCCGAGCCGAGAGAUUUUGAUGCCAGAAACAAAUGCCAAAUGGCAGAAGGGAAUGGACCGCAGAGCUGCCUCUCGAGCGGUGUAGAUAUCUGAAGUGAAGCACUGUGGGUGCAGACUGGGACAGAGAAGAGGCCAGAGAUCGGUGACCUGACAAGGGCUUCCGUCUGCGCCCCGGUGGUGACACCUUGAUUUAGGACCUGGAGAAGGCAUCCUUUACACGAAAAACAGUAUCUCUGCUAGCUGCUGAGUGCGAAUGUACUCAGUGGUGAGAUGCUAUAGGCGUUCUUCCCAAAGUCAAGAU